UUGGGAAUCUUGGACAAUGGGGGAAACCCUGAUCCAGCCAUGCCGCGUGAGUGAUGAGGGCCUUCGGGUUGUAAAACUCUUUCGCGCACGACGAUAAUGACGGUAGUGCGAGAAGAAGCUCCGGCUAACUUCGUGCCAGCAGCCGCGGUAAUACGAAGGGGGCUAGCGUUGUUCGGAAUUACUGGGCGUAAAGCGCGCGCAGGCGGCUAUCCAAGUCAGUGGUGAAAGCCCGGAGCUCAACUCCGGAACUGCCAUUGAAACUGUUUAGCUAGAGGACGAGAGAGGUGAGUGGAAUUCCCAGUGUAGAGGUGAAAUUCGUAGAUAUUGGGAAGAACACCGGUGGCGAAGGCGGCUCACUGGCUCGUUUCUGACGCUCAGGCGCGACAGCGUGGGGAUCAAACAGGAUUAGAUACCCUGGUAGUCCACGCCGUAAACGAUGAUUGCUAGCCGUUGGGCAGCUUGCUGUUCAGUGGCGCAGCUAACGCAUUAAGC
RNAcentral lists this ribosomal RNA (492 nucleotides) under uncultured bacterium. Its description in RNAcentral is "bacterial SSU rRNA". It matches the Rfam family "Bacterial small subunit ribosomal RNA", at positions 355 to 865 of the family's 1533-position model. The record is from RNAcentral.